AAAAAUUAAGUCUGUCCCGUAGAUU
RNAcentral lists this non-coding RNA (25 nucleotides) under Cricetulus griseus (Chinese hamster). The record is from RNAcentral. Lineage: Eukaryota; Metazoa; Chordata; Mammalia; Rodentia; Cricetidae.